This 254-nucleotide ribosomal RNA is filed under the name uncultured bacterium. Its description in RNAcentral is "partial 16S ribosomal RNA". It matches the Rfam family "Bacterial small subunit ribosomal RNA", at positions 524 to 776 of the family's 1533-position model. The record is from RNAcentral.
UACGGAGGGUGCAAGCGUUAUCCGGAUUCACUGGGUUUAAAGGGUGCGUAGGUGGGCAGUUAAGUCAGUGGUGAAAUCUCCGGGCUUAACCCGGAAACUGCCAUUGAUACUAUCUGUCUUGAAUACCGUGGAGGUAAGCGGAAUAUGUCAUGUAGCGGUGAAAUGCUUAGAUAUGACAUAGAACACCAAUUGCGAAGGCAGCUUACUACACGUACUAUUGACACUGAGGCACGAAAGCGUGGGGAUCAAACAGG